RNAcentral lists this long non-coding RNA (1410 nucleotides) under Carassius auratus (goldfish). Its description in RNAcentral is "lncRNA (ENSCARG00000023870.1)". Lineage: Eukaryota; Metazoa; Chordata; Actinopteri; Cypriniformes; Cyprinidae. The record is from RNAcentral.
AUGGGGGGUUCAAAGUCAAGACCAUUACCAGGAGAGACACCAAUUGAUUUUAUGUUCAGAAAUAAUCAAGGGUUUUAUGCGGAACCUUUUGUAAGUGAUAUGGCAGGAUGGUCAGAGGGCAUGAAACCACAAAUUGAAACUCCGUAUCCUAGAGAGGGUUCAUUCACUGAUGAGGGUAUGGAAUUGGCUAAAAGUCUAAUUUUUGAGGGGUGGGGCGAUCCCACUUGGGAUUAUAAAUAUAUGACUAAAAGUUAUAAUGUAUGGAAGGAUCUGAAAAAGGUCUGGGAUCAAGGACCAGAAAAGAAAAAGGUACUUGCCUUUGUGGCUCAUCAAAACAGCUUUCCACAAGACAAGCCACCGCCCUACUGCACUCCUCGCCUACCCACAGCGCCACCGCACAACAGUCAUGUUACUGAAAAGUCAGGUACUUUCAAAGAGACAAAGGUAGAGACAAAGGAAACUCCCAAAACUCAGAGUGCAAUGGUGUGGAUGAGAUCGGGAAAUGCGAUAGGGGUGAAACCAGUAAAAAUGACAGAUAUGGAAGCAAUCUGUAAAAGUUUGCCUUCUCCACAGAAUCCUAGUAAAUUUGUAACUAUUCUGCAAUCACACACAAAGUACGCUCAUUUUACAGGUGCUGAUUACAGAGCAGUUCUGGCAAGGACAAUGGAAGGAGAUGUCACUGAGGAAAUGCUGAUUAGUGAAUGCAAAACGCUGGAGUAUGAAAAUGAUCAUAUAUCAGGUUUAGCUACAUCAAAAGGACCACAUGUAUUUUUCUGGGAAAAACAGGAAAAUCAUACUUCUUUCUUUAAGGAGUUGAAAGCAUUCAUAGAGAAGCGUCUAGGCAAUAAACAAGAUUUAUCAUUUGCUGCAAACACAAAGCAGAAGUCUAAAGAAACUGCUUCAGAUUUCUAUCUGAGAUUUAAGAAAGCAUGGGUGGAGGAAUCUAAACUCCCACUUGAUGAUAACUUAAAGGCGUUAUUCAUCAACACAUUUCUGAAUAAUAUGCAUGGAAAACAAGCACAACUGAUUAGAAUCACAACAACUAACUUGUUAGAAAUGACCAUAGAAGCAUUAGGGAAGCGAGUUAGGGAACUAGAUAUUUCUGGAGGGUUUGUGGUCAAAACUGAAACUGCUAUGUUCACUGGGCAAAAACCACAUAGAGGUGAACAUGACCUAAAAGCAGAACUAAAGCACAGAUCAAGUGUUCCAAAAAGAUCUCUGUGGAAAGGAAGGUCAUGUCCAAAGAAAUUGCAGAAAAGGGAGAAGUCAGAAUCGUCCUCAGGGAGAUUCAGUUCAGUGGAAGCCAAGAAUAGAUCACUCUCAGCAGAGAGACAGAGAAAGAUUCAACUCCCCUUAUCCUACUUCUUGGCACAAACCUCAAGGACCACAAUAGGGAUGCCUACAGAGUGA